This 289-nucleotide long non-coding RNA is filed under the name Nicotiana benthamiana. Its description in RNAcentral is "long non-coding RNA (NBEN_LNC039237)". The record is from RNAcentral. Lineage: Eukaryota; Viridiplantae; Streptophyta; Magnoliopsida; Solanales; Solanaceae.
CUAUAUCCAAUCCAAAUAACACUCACUCAAAGACAACAAUCCAAAUUCAGCAAUCAACUAGGAAUUCAAACCCAAUAAGUUUAUACAAAGCUUAGCAAUUGGUUCCUCAAAACAUGCUUGUCAUUAAUCGACCUUGUAAACUUAAAAUGGUCAAGAAGUCAUUAACACUAAUGAACAAUUACCAGAACAGUCCAGACCCUUUUCUAGUUGCAUUCAAUUUCAAAGGUCAAGCAUGGUAUUGCUGGCAUCAAACAAAAACUAACACCCAAUUCCAUUAACACCCAUUCAG